UCCAAUGCCAUAUCCAAUGCCACAACCUGCAGCCCUAGACUGGUUACUCACUGAAGCUAUGCAGGGCUGAGCCUGGUCAGCACCUGGAUGGGAGACCACAUGGGAAAACUAGGUUGAUGGUGGAA
Molecule: ribosomal RNA, 125 nt
Filed under: Danio rerio (zebrafish)
Lineage: Eukaryota; Metazoa; Chordata; Actinopteri; Cypriniformes; Danionidae
Source: RNAcentral